CCUACGGGUGGCAGCAGUGGGGAAUAUUGCACAAUGGGGGAAACCCUGAUGCAGCGACGCCGCGUGAGUGAAGAAGUAUUUCGGUAUGUAAAGCUCUAUCAGCAGGGAAGAAAAUGACGGUACCUGAUUAAGAAGCCCCGGCUAACAACGUGCCAGCAGCCGCGGUAAUACGUAGGGGGCAAGCGUUAGCCGGAUUUACUGGGUGGAAAGGGAGCGUAGACGGCAGCACAAGUCUGGAGUGAAAUGCCGGGGCUUAACCCCGGAACUGCUUUGGAAACUGUGCAGCUAGAGUGCCGGAGAGGUAAGUGGAAUUCCUAGUGUAGGAGUGAAAUGCGUAGAUAUUAGGAGGAACACCAGUGGCGAAGGCGGCUUACUGGACUGUAACUGACGUUGAGGCUCGAAAGCGUGGGGAGCAAACAGGAUUAGAUACCCUAGUAGUC
RNAcentral lists this ribosomal RNA (440 nucleotides) under uncultured bacterium. RNAcentral describes it as "partial 16S ribosomal RNA". It matches the Rfam family "Bacterial small subunit ribosomal RNA", at positions 338 to 795 of the family's 1533-position model. The record is from RNAcentral.